RNAcentral lists this ribosomal RNA (283 nucleotides) under uncultured bacterium. RNAcentral describes it as "partial 16S ribosomal RNA". It matches the Rfam family "Bacterial small subunit ribosomal RNA", at positions 773 to 1060 of the family's 1533-position model. The record is from RNAcentral.
GUGGAUUAGAUACCCUGGUAGUCCGCACUGUAAACGAUGAUUACUCGCUGCUAGAGGGCAACCUUUAGUGGCUUAGCGAAAGCGAUAAGUAAUCCACCUGGGGAGUACGCCGGCAACGGUGAAACUCAAAGGAAUUGACGGGGGCCCGCACAAGCGGAGGAGCAUGUGGUUUAAUUCGAUGAUACGCGAGGAACCUUACCAGGGCUUGAAAGUUAGGGAAUGAAUCUGAAAGGAUUCAGUCAGCAAUGACCCGAAACUAGGUGCUGCACGGCCGUCGCCAACU